CUGGGCUUAAAGAGCGUGUAGGCCGGGAUGGUAAGUACUUUGUGAAAGCCCCGGCUUCAAUCCGGGACUGCUUGGUAUACUGCUAUUCCGUGAGGCAGGUAGGGGUGACUGGAACCUUAGCUGGAGCGGUGAAAUGCGUAGACAUCUAAGGGAACACCUGUGGCGAAAGCGGGUCACUAGGCCUGUCCUGACGCUGAGACGCGAAAGCGUAGGGAGCGAACGGGAUUAGAUACCCCGGUAGUCUACGCCGUAAACGAUGCGCACUAGGUUCGAGAACCUCUGACGGUUUUCGUGCCGAAACAAAAGCGAUAAGUGCGCCGCCUGGGGAGUACGGCCGCAAGGCUAAAACUCAAAGGAAUUGACGGGGGCUCACACAAGCGGUGGAGCAUGUGGAUUAAUUCGAAGCAACGCGAAGAACCUUACCUGGGUUUGACAUGCAUGGAUGCCCUCUGGGAAACAGGAGUAAGCUGCCUUCGGGUGAAACAUGCACAGGUGCUGCAUGGCAGUCGUCAGCUCGUGCUGUGAAGUGUCGGGUUAAGUCCCUUAACGAGCGAAACCCUUGUCGCUAGUUGCCAGCGGUUCGGCCGGGAACUCUAGCGAGACUGCCGGCGUUAAGCCGGAGGAAGGUGGGGACGACGUCAAGUCAUCAUGGCCUCUAUGCCCAGGGUGUCACACGUGCUACAAUGGGGCGUACAGAGCGACGCAAGCCCGUGAGCUGGAACAAAUCGCACAAAGCGCUCCUCAGUUCGGAUUGGGGUCUGCAAUUCGACCCCAUGAAGUCGGAAUCGCUAGUAAUCGCGCAUCAGCCAUGGCCCGGUGAAUGAGUUCCUGAGCACUUGUACACACCGCCCGUCAAGUCAUGGAAGCUGGGAGUUCCCGAAGUCGCCACAUU
RNAcentral lists this ribosomal RNA (892 nucleotides) under uncultured organism. Its description in RNAcentral is "bacterial SSU rRNA". It matches the Rfam family "Bacterial small subunit ribosomal RNA", at positions 554 to 1436 of the family's 1533-position model. The record is from RNAcentral.